This 21-nucleotide microRNA is filed under the name Chlamydomonas reinhardtii. Its description in RNAcentral is "cre-miR1170.1". The record is from miRBase by way of RNAcentral. Lineage: Eukaryota; Viridiplantae; Chlorophyta; Chlorophyceae; Chlamydomonadales; Chlamydomonadaceae.
UGUCCAUCGCCAAGUUGCCAG